UCUGAAUCUAGCAAAACACGUGGUCUGUCAACCCUGCUUUCCCAGGACUACCCUUAGAUUUACUUUUAUUUUAAAAAACCCUAAUAUUAUCAUUAUUGGUUUUCAAAAUGAAGUUUCCAAAGCUUGUGAAAAUGACUUUGCAGUCAUGUCUGCUUCCUGAUAAUGCCUUUUUUUUCCAUCCUUAGAAGGUAUGUAUAAGGUACUGAAAGCUUCUUGGUGGCAACAGUGCAUAGAGAGAAAAAAGAUCCUAAUGUGAACCUUUGUAUUUCAGGACAUAUCUCCAUUUGAUUCUGAAUGAUAAUACCUGCUUUGUUUUUAUCCUCUUUCAGAUAUGAGCAAUCUUAUUGUCCCUGUCUGGUGGAUGAUGUGUCUGCAUACGAGACAGAUUCUGCGCACUCGCCUUUUCCUGGUGCCACCAGCAAGAGCAGGAGACUCGAGAUGAUGGAAUGCCAGACAAACCUGAGGCUGAGACAGAACUAAUGAAAGAAAACCAGCGGAAGCAACUUCUUAUGCUGCUACUUGCUUGCACCCACAGAUGAUACCUACAUACUUAAUAUACCUCGUUCAGAUGAAGAUGCCCAGAUGAAGAGAAAUACAGCUUGCAAGACAUGUGAAGUAAUCCUUAGUCUUCACACAGCAUUAGUGAGGUCUCUGCAGAAGCAGAGGCUUCCAGUUUGUGGAAGACAAAAAGGAGAAAUUCAGGUGGAGAUCAGCAAAAAAGAAUCAGAGGUCUGGAAAACAUGACCUACAAGGAAAGACUGAACAAACAAGGGUUAUUUAGAUGGAAGAAGAGAGGAUUAUCAGGGGAAAAAGACAGAGAAAGAAGUGCCACACUUCAAAUAGGUAAAGGUCUCCAGUGAAGUUCAAGGAAAUAAUUUGUUCUCUAUGUCUAUGAUAUAUGUAUGCAAUAAGAUGCAUAAUGAGAUUGCAUAUGCAAUGAGAUGCUUAAAUUACAUCAGAAAAUUCAGGUUACACACCAUGGAAGUUUUCUAACAGUACGAACAGUAAAGGGAUGAAAAGCUGCCUGGGGAAGGUCAUGGCACCUCUGUCUUUGAAGAACUUUAAGAACAAGUUAGAGAGAUGUCUACUAGGAAUAACCCAGGUACAGCUGAUCCUGCUUUGGUAUAUGAUGGUGGAAUAGAGGAACUUAAGGUCUUUUGUAGUUGCUGUGAUUCUAUGAGACUAGUAGCAAUAAUAAUACAUUUGCUUCAUUUUUAUAGACUCCACUUGUGCUUUCCAGACAGUCCCUGAUGCUAAAAGCGCAAAAUUUUCCAAGGGAUAAGCACAGAU
This 1290-nucleotide long non-coding RNA is filed under the name Calidris pugnax (ruff). RNAcentral's name for it is "lncRNA (ENSCPUG00000009344.1)". Lineage: Eukaryota; Metazoa; Chordata; Aves; Charadriiformes; Scolopacidae. The record is from RNAcentral.